This 460-nucleotide ribosomal RNA is filed under the name uncultured bacterium. Its description in RNAcentral is "partial 16S ribosomal RNA". It matches the Rfam family "Bacterial small subunit ribosomal RNA", at positions 338 to 795 of the family's 1533-position model. The record is from RNAcentral.
CCUACGGGUGGCAGCAGUGAGGAAUAUUGGUCAAUGGCCGGAAGGCUGAACCAGCCAAGUCGCGUGAGGGAAUAAGGCCCUAUGGGUCGUAAACCUCUUUUGUCAGGGAGCAAAGGCUUCCACGAGUGGACGAAAGGAGAUUACCUGAAGAAAAGGAAUCGUCUAACUCCGUGCCAGCAGCGGCGGUAUUACGGAGGAUGCGAUGGUUAUCCGAAUUUAGUGGGUUUAAAGGUUGCGUAGGCGGAGUGUCAGGUCAGCGGUAUAAUUUCGGGGCUCAACCCCGUCGUGCCGUUGAAACUGACACCCUUGAGUGAGUGAGAAGUAAGCGGAAUGCGUGGCGUAGCGGUGAAAUGCAUAGAUAUCACGCAGAACGCCGAUUGCGAAGGCAGCUUACCGGCGCUCAACUGACGCGGAGGCACGAAAGUGCGGGUAUCGAACAGGAUUAGAUACCCUGGUAGUC